GAGCAAUCAAGGAUUUAUCGCUGAAAGAUGGCCUCGCGUCCAAUUAGCUGGUUGGUGAGGUAACGGCCCACCAAGGCGACGAUUGGUAGCCGGACUGAGAGGUUGAACGGCCACAUUGGGACUGAGACACGGCCCAGACUCCUACGGGAGGCAGCAGUGGGGAAUAUUGCACAAGGGGCGCAAGCCUGAUGCAGCAACGCCGCGUGGAGGAAAACGGUUUUCGGAUUGUAAACUCCUGUUCUUAGUACGAAGAAG
Molecule: ribosomal RNA, 255 nt
Filed under: uncultured bacterium
Lineage: Bacteria
Description: partial 16S ribosomal RNA
Rfam family: Bacterial small subunit ribosomal RNA
Source: RNAcentral